Non-coding RNA from Danio rerio (zebrafish), 117 nucleotides. The record is from Rfam. NCBI's taxonomy places the organism in Eukaryota, Metazoa, Chordata, Actinopteri, Cypriniformes, Danionidae.
UGCCACAGUCAUAUCACCCAGCAGCCCAAGAGCGGUUACUCACUGACGCUAAGCAGGGCUGAGCCUGGUAAGUACCUAAAUGGGAGACCACAUGGGAAAACUAGGUUUCUGUUGAAA